Molecule: ribosomal RNA, 440 nt
Filed under: uncultured bacterium
Lineage: Bacteria
Description: partial 16S ribosomal RNA
Rfam family: Bacterial small subunit ribosomal RNA
Source: RNAcentral
CCUACGGGUGGCUGCAGUAGGGAAUAUUGCUCAAUGGGGGAAACCCUGAAGCAGCAACGCCGCGUGGAGGAUGAAGGUUUUCGGAUUGUAAACUCCUUUUGUUAUAGAAGAUAAUGACGGUAUCUAACGAAUAAGCACCGGCUAACUCCGUGCCAGCAGCCGCGGUAAUACGGAGGGAGCAAGCGUUACUCGGAAUCACUGGGCGUAAAGGGCGCGUAGGCGGGAUAGCAAGUCAGAUGUGAAAUCCUAUGGCUUAACCAUAGAACUGCAUUUGAAACUGUUAUUCUAGAGUAUGGGAGAGGUAGGUGGAAUUCUUGGUGUAGGGGUGAAAUGCGUAGAGAUCAAGAGGAAUACUGAGUGCGAAGGCGACCUGCUAGAACAUAACUGACGCUGAUGCGCGAAAGCGUGGGGAGCAAACAGGAUUAGAUACCCCUGUAGUC